Molecule: ribosomal RNA, 496 nt
Filed under: uncultured bacterium
Lineage: Bacteria
Description: partial 16S ribosomal RNA
Rfam family: Bacterial small subunit ribosomal RNA
Source: RNAcentral
GAUGAACGCUGGCGGCGUGCCUAAUACAUGCAAGUCGAGCGAACAGAUGAGGAGCUUGCUCCUCUGACGUUAGCGGCGGACGGGUGAGUAACACGUGGAUAACCUACCUAUAAGACUGGGAUAACUUCGGGAAACCGGAGCUAAUACCGGAUAAUAUAUUGAACCGCAUGGUUCAAUAGUGAAAGACGGUUUUGCUGUCACUUAUAGAUGGAUCCGCGCCGCAUUAGCUAGUUGGUAAGGUAACGGCUUACCAAGGCAACGAUGCGUAGCCGACCUGAGAGGGUGAUCGGCCACACUGGAACUGAGGCACGGUCCAGACUCCUACGGGAGGCAGCAGUAGGGAAUCUUCCGCAAUGGGCGAAAGCCUGACGGAGCAACGCCGCGUGAGUGAUGAAGGUCUUCGGAUCGUAAAACUCUGUUAUUAGGGAAGAACAAAUGUGUAAGUAACUAUGCACGUCUUGACGGUACCUAAUCAGAAAGCCACGGCUAACUACGU